AACGAACGCUUGCGGCGCGCCUAAUACAUGCAAGUCGAACGAGGUAGCAAUACCAAGUGGCGCACGGGUGAGUAACGCGUGGAUAAUCUGCCUAUCAGUGGGGAAUAACUAUCCGAAAGGAUAGCUAAUACCGCAUGAGGCCACAGGAUCUGAGGAUCUAGGGGUUAAAGAUUUAUCGCUGAUAGAUGAGUCUGCGUGGGAUUAGCUAGUUGGNGGGUAACGGCCUACCAAGGCAACGAUCUCUAACAGGUCUGAGAGGAUGGACCUGUCACACUGGAACUGAGACACGGGUCCAGACUCCUACGGGAGGCAGCAGUAGGGAAUAUUGCGCAAUGGGGGAAACCCUGACGCAGCGACGCCGCGUGAGUGAUGAAGGCCUUAGGGUCGUAAAGCUCUGUUGAAUGGGAACAAAAAAAU
RNAcentral lists this ribosomal RNA (417 nucleotides) under uncultured bacterium. RNAcentral describes it as "bacterial SSU rRNA". It matches the Rfam family "Bacterial small subunit ribosomal RNA", at positions 29 to 455 of the family's 1533-position model. The record is from RNAcentral.